UUUGUGAAAGUACUGUAGCCUACUAGCGGACAGAUCAACUUUGGCAUUGCAUUCUUCUUGAUUUAGGUUUGGUAGAAGUGUGAGAUAUGUUCUUUAGAGGGGCUGUUACAAGUUCUCCCAUUAAGAAGAAAAGCUUUGAGCCUGAACAUGUUUGUCAAAGUCUUGACCUCUCCCACUUCUCUGACUCCUCCUAUGAGUGUUUCUCCACCAAUCCGCUCACAGGCUCACUGUGCGCUUGUCGACGGAGUCCCCGCCUACUGGCCAAUGGUUAUUAUUUGCUGACAGAGGAUAGUUUUAGCACAGAUGACGAGGGUAACAUCACCCUGACACCCUCGCACACCAGCGUGUCAUACAAAGAGAACCUUGUCCGGAUAUUUAGACGAAGGCGCAGAGCUAGAAGAUCAUUGGCCAGCCUUCUGAGUGAUGUGAGCCAGUCCUGCCAGUCCUGGCUGGAAUCAAGCGUUUUUAGACGAUCUGAUCCCGUCACCCCCCUUGAGUCAUCAUCAUGGAUGGACUCAGACCACACCUGCGAGCAAGAUGCACCCAUCAGCUUUACAUACGAUCCCACAGAGCAUGUUCCCUCCCCAGAUAAAGAGACCCCUCAGACUCUGCUUGAGGAGCAGGAGCCUCAGACUGAGUCAUGUCCCCCUCAUGAACAAUGUAGCCAAUCAGUGAGCGGUCUUCUGGAUGUUCCUCCUCCAUCCAUGUGUCACCACAACAGUUACAGUUCAUCCACAAAGACAUCAUCAGACACUUUCCUGCUGAAAGUCCUCCUCUUCAUUCUUAUUUUGUGCAUCUGCAUUGCCAUCUCGUCCAGGUGGCUGCUGGGAGGCGUUUCUGCAGCGGUGGCCUUCUUUGUCCUGCUUUCAUCAUUAUGUGUGUCCAAACCUGGAAGAGCAGUCCAUUGGAGGAGAGCAAAGACUGAGGACAUCACCUCCAGAAACGAGUGAGAGGAACCCAUAUACACCCGUGUGUGAAGUCUGUUUAGGACCUCAGGAAGUGAGACUGUUGACUGCACAUCCUGAAUCACCAUCACACGUUAGCUAUAGCUCAGUUUUUGUGUUUGGUGUUUUCACUGUAGAAAUCUGAAUAUAAAUAUUUAUAGAAGAUUCAAACAGGACCAGUGAUAGGAUUUCUGUCACAGUAAAAUUGACAUGCUAAGAAAAGCAUGCACUUUAUAUAAAGGUGUUUCAAUCGUAUCAAUGCAGGUAGAUCAUUCAAGUUAAGAAUUUGAUUCGUCUUUCUAAAUGAAAGACAAUAUAUUAGAUUCUCUUGAAAGUCAGUGACGAUGCCCUGCAUGCACAGUUAAAAACAAUGGUUAAAAUAUGUACCCCAGCUGUUUGGGGCAGUACCCUUUAAAAGGUCCUAUUAUGUACCAUUAGGUACAUGCAUGUAUACAUUUGGUACCAAAGCUGUACUGUAUAUGAAAGGGUACAGUCCCAGUAACAGCUGGAGUACAUAUUUUGACAAUUUUUCUGAUAGUGUGACAAGAAGUGAAGUGUUAUUAUUAUUGUUGGUAAAUCCUCAGUUUGGCUUGGUUGGGGUCUUUACCAUGAUGACUGGGGCAUCCUGUGUUUAUCGCACCUUAGAUUAUCAGAUGCCCACAUAAAUAGUGUUGCAGAAAUAUUUGACUUUUUUUUUAACUAGUUGAUGCUUUAUUAUUCAUAGCAAAUUUUAUAUCUUAAAAAGUGCCAGUUUUGCUUUGCAUAAAUGCCUCAUAUUUGUCAAGUGCCUUUGAUAAACAAACAAGAGUGCUAUGUGAUUUAAUAGGGCACAAAUGUGCUUCUGAAAGUGCAAUAAUUAGUGUUAUAAUAGUUUAACCCUGUUGCUGCCAAAACAGAUCAUGUUUUAUAGUGUAUAUUAUGGGUUUAUGGUGCUUAAAGUCUGAAUGCAAACAUGUUGGAGACCCAGCCAAGAUAAAUACAAAGGGAAAAAUGAAUUAUUUAAGUGCAUUUAGCUUGUAGCCAACAGAAAUGUAUGUGUUUAUAUUUAAUGUGUUAUGUUAAUGUGGCUUAAAUGUGUAAUAUAAAUAUUUUUGUUGUGCACAUGAAUAAAGAAAAAUAGUGACUUGAAUAUCAGAAAAUAAACUAGUCAAUAUUUAAUAUAAAGUGUGUUAAAAUUAUUAUAACUUUUAUUAAAUCAGACAGGAUUAGACACAAGAUUAGACACAAAAAUGUUGGGAAAAUGAAAUGAAAAUCUGUUUGUUUAUUGUGUAUUGCAGAUUGCUUUUUUGAGAAAUAGGGAGAAAUUAUGAUUGAAUGUAAAUUUAUAACAAAGCAUAUUGUAAAAACAUAAGCUGAAAAGAAAGAAUGUAUUCAUUGAUUAGAAAUGUACAAACUUUUAUUGUUUUACUGCAUUUGAGCUUGUAUGGGUGCAGUAAAACUGUAAUUCUGCUUACUGUAGACAACAAUCUGUGGCACAAGAUAACUAAACCAUUACUGUAAAUACUAAAGAAGUAAAUUAGUUAAACUGUAUUAUUCCACUGCAUGUAAAAGUGAAAUGUGAAAUUAAUCUGUUUUAUGUAUACACUGUAAAAUGUAAUCUUAAAAUCAAAUGCAUUUAUAUAAUUUGCACAGGUACAUUUGAACAUGGCAAACAAAAUGGACCAUGUCAAUAAGUAUUAUAAAAUGAAAAGGCCUUUAAAUAUUUUAGGCCUUAUUUUUUUAAGGUUCAUAUUUUUACAGUGUAUUUUUAAAAUACUGCAAUAAAGGUUUUAUAUAUAAUA
This is an RNA transcript of Paramisgurnus dabryanus, 2725 nucleotides long. It is a transcript of the gene named transmembrane protein 71, with no coding region annotated. Lineage: Eukaryota; Metazoa; Chordata; Actinopteri; Cypriniformes; Cobitidae. The record is from RefSeq and is a predicted model, not a curated record.